Non-coding RNA from Drosophila melanogaster (fruit fly), 414 nucleotides. The record is from Ensembl. NCBI's taxonomy places the organism in Eukaryota, Metazoa, Arthropoda, Insecta, Diptera, Drosophilidae.
UCAACUGUUGACCGAAUUUCGGGCAUAGGGAUAACCAAAAAGGACGCAGGACACCACAGCAAAGCACAGGAUUUAUUGAUUCCGGCAGCUAGAUGAAAAAUGAAAAUUGCAGUGCUGGCAGAAAAAACACCGAAAUCACAGCAAUACCAGCCGCAAUCAUCCAUAUGUACUGACCUGGGAUUUCAUCAGCGAGCCGAAUGAAUGGCGUCUCUUAUUGAUUAGCGGCAAUGAUGCACCCAGACCAAUCCAAGCGAACCGAACCCCUGGCACCACCCAACCAUCCACCCAUCCCAUCAGCCGAAAGCUAACCCGAUCCGAAUCUAAAUUCGAUGCCGAGCACCCGGCUGACCUUGCAUGCCGCACCAACUAUUGGCUGCAUGGCAGACACGGAACAGCAGUUGUUUUAAUAAAUUU